AAAUUUCUAAAUCCAAUUUUUUAUUUUAAUUUUGGCCCAAUUAUUAGUUCAAUAUUAACAAUUAAGCCCAACUGCCAAGAUGGCCAAGACUGGCCUUGUAGACUUGUAUUUAAUAUAAUAGUCUUUGUCUCUUUGACCUAAAUCACAUAACCGGCUAGCAAAUCCAGAGAAAUUCAAAAAGUGAAAACCUUCAACUACAAGCCGCCGACUCAAACUUUUCCUGUUGAACUGCCAUCGAAGCCGCCGACGCCAAAUUUGAACGAGGUAGGUUGUAAGCUUUCCUAAUGAAAUAUGUCUUUGAUUUCCCUAUGGUGGACUAUUGCGCAACAUCUAUUUUUAUUUUAUUUUAGUGGACUGUCAUUUGUCAUUGCUGGUUUGCAGUUGCUAGUCAUAGUUUAAGUAGAAACUGUGGCCAUUGUGUUUUUAUUUUCACUUUCUUUAGCUGCUGUAUUUGGGUAUUUAUGAUUCUAUGAUUUGUUUACACAUAGAUAUCAAGAUGAUCAGUCCAGAGGGCUCAAAUCUUGCACAAAGUUACCUUAUAUAUCUUGAUGAAAUUCUGUUUUCAUUUUAUGUUACCCUGUAUAUCUUGAUAAAAUUAUGUUCCAUAUUGUUUGUGCAGAAUUUAAUCAAGUUGCUAGUUAAAGUGAUACCAAUUUUGAAUGCUCAAAUGGAAGACCAAAAACAGCCUAAAGAAAGAUCAGAAAUAUGGAAUUGUUUCACUAAGAUACUUGGUGGAGAAAGAGCAAAAUGUAGUUAUUGUGGGAGAACAUUUAAGGUUGUUUCUACUUCUGCAACUUCUACCAUGUGGAAGCAUCUAAAAGCUCGUUAUAUUUAUAAGAACACUACAGUUAAUGAAAAACAAGCAAUAUUGACUCGAGAAAACAAUGAUGGUGGUAUUAUGGCUAUGGUGUUUGAUAAAGAAAAGUGUAGAAAAGGAUGAUGAAUUGUCUUUUUCCUUUGUGGAAGAUGCGGGUUUUAAGGAAUUUGUGCAGCAACUUUGUCCUAGAUUUGAGGUUCCUACUCGAAGAACGAUUGCUAGAAAUGUGCUCCAUUUCUACCAUGAAACGAAGGAAUUAUUGAGGAUUAAAUUUAUUAAUGAUAGGCAAAGGAUUUCUUUAACCAUCGAUUGUUGGACAUUAAUUCAAAAUAUCAAUUAUAAGAUAGAAGUUAACAACUACAUAAGAGGAUAUUGAGUUUUUCUGUGGUUUCAAAUCAUAAAGGGGAGACAAUUGAGAAGCUUAUUAAAAAAAUGUUUGCUUGAUUGGGGAAUAGAGUGUGUGGGUACCAUUAUUGUAGACAAUGCAAAAACAAAUGAUGCAACGAUCAUUUAUGUGAAAAGCAAGUUGAAGAAUUGGAAACCUGAUGAUACUAUGAUUUUAUGUGGCUUUUAUCUGCAUGUACAUUGUUCAGCACACAUACUCAAUUUGAUUGUUAAAAAAGGGUUAAAAGAGUUUAAUCUAUCUGUAGAUAGUAUUUGCAAUGCGGUAAAAUAUUUUCGAUCAUCUCCUUCGUGGUUGACAAAAUUUAAAUGUUGUAUUGAAAGGGAAAAGAUUGCAUGCACAAAACUUGCUAUUUUAGAUGUUUCUACUCGAUGGAAUUCAACAUUCUUAAUGUUGGAUAGUGCAUUGAAUUUUGAAAAAGCUUUUGAAAGAAUGGAGGAAGAGGAUGAAUUUUAUUGUAAAUAUUUUGACGAGAAUGAAGGUGGAAAAGAAAAAGAAAGGCUACCUACAAGUUAUUAUUGGAAGAAAGUUAGAAAAUUUGUCAAGUUUUUAAGAACCUUUUAUGAUGUCACAUUGAAGUUUAAUGCUUAAUUGAGUGUUACUUCCAAUAUUUACUUCCAUGAAAUUUGUAAAAUCGAGCGAAUUUUGAAGAAAAGGGGGUGAAAAGCAAGAUUAUUUGCUAAGUAGUAUAGCAAAUAGCAUAAAUAUUAAGUUUGACAAGUAUUGGUGUAAAGUUGAUAAAAUAAACAAGAUUUUGAUUGUAGCAGUCGUGCUUGAUCCCAGGCAUAAGUUGGAGUUUGUUGUACAUUGCAUUGGUAUCUUGUAUGACAGUGUUAAAGUUGAAGCCACAAAGAAUGAGGUCAUGAAAUUUUUGUAUGCUUUGUAUAACUAACGAAAGGGAUGGCAUCGUUCAAACAAUGGACCUAGUGGAAGCAGAAGUGGUGGCAAUGAAUCUAAUGAUGGAGUCACUUUGUUGGAAAAUGAAUGAUGAUGAUGAUUGGGAUGAUUGCAAUUUUUUUUUUGGGUACAAGAAAUUGAAAACUACCAAAAUGGAUUUUUCUAGAAAAUAUGAGGUACAACGAUAUCUAAUGGAAUCCACUGAAGAUGCUAGUAAUGAAAAUUUGAGAAUUUGAAUUGUUGGAAGAUCAAUAAAUCAAGAUUUGGAAUUUUAUCUAAGGUUGUAAGGGAUGUUCUUGCCAUUCCUGUAUCUACAGUUGCUUUUGAGUCAACAUUUAGUAUUGGAGUGCGCAUUCUUGAUCCAUUUAGGAGUUCUUUAACUCCUAAAACAAUUGAGGUCUAGAUUUGUACACAAAAUUGGCUAAGGAAAGAAUUUAGACUUUUGAGAGUUUUCCAAGAUAGAGUUUGCAUUGAAAAGACGAAGUUCUAUGAGGGUAUUAAGACAGGUAAUAAAAUAUAUGUUAUAUUUUUCUUAUUAAAUCUUAUUAGUUGAACAAAUUUGAAUUUAUUUAUGUUUGUUAAUAACUUAAUUGUGCUUUUUCAAUUUUUUCUUGCAGCGUCUCUUAAUAAUGAGUAUGACUUAUAAUGAGUAUGGUAAGUUAAGCAAUUGAUGGAUAAAUCAAACAGUUGGUAAGUAUUAGCAAUACUUGAAAAUAUUUUUUAUUUAUAACUUUUAAUUUAUCAUUCAUUUUUCAUGUAGACUUGAAGGUUUGAAGCAAACGAACCAUUGAAUGGAUCGUUGAAGUUUUAUUAUUAGUAUUUACUCUCUAGUAUUUGUAUGUAUUGGUAAAUUAAUCUUGUUGGACAACUUGUUAUUUGCAUUUACUAAAUUGGACUACGUUAAUUUGUAAAACUACGAUCGAAUGUGCCAUAGUUAUAUUUAUGUAGUGUUGUUAUAAAUGUUAAAAAGUUUAAUUAUAGUACGAAAUCGAACGGAACCAAAC
Molecule: long non-coding RNA, 3121 nt
Filed under: Olea europaea subsp. europaea
Lineage: Eukaryota; Viridiplantae; Streptophyta; Magnoliopsida; Lamiales; Oleaceae
Source: RNAcentral